Molecule: long non-coding RNA, 156 nt
Organism: Sapajus apella (tufted capuchin)
Lineage: Eukaryota; Metazoa; Chordata; Mammalia; Primates; Cebidae
Exons: 4
Source: RefSeq, a predicted model, not a curated record
UAAAAUAUUUGCUGAAAUGCUAAUGAGAAUAAACAACCUAGAGAGGAAUAUAACUGAAUUGAUGGAGCUGAAAAACACAACACGAGAACUUCGCGAAGCAUACACAAGUUUCAGCAGCUCAACUGACCAUGCAGAAGAAAGAAUAUCAGAGGUCGA